CAGUAGCCGCGGUAAUACGAAGGGGGCUAGCGUUGCUCGGAAUGACUGGGCGUAAAGGGCGCGUAGGCGGUUUGUACAGUUGGAUGUGAAAUUCCUGGGCUUAACCUGGGGGCUGCAUUCAAUACGUGCAGGCUUGAGUGUGGAAGAGGGUUGUGGAAUUCCCAGUGUAGAGGUGAAAUUCGUAGAUAUUGGGAAGAACACCGGUGGCGAAGGCGGCAACCUGGUCCAUUACUGACGCUGAGGCGCGAAAGCGUGGGGAGCAAACAGGAUUAGAUACCCGGGUAGUCCCUGUCUCUUAUAC
Molecule: ribosomal RNA, 301 nt
Filed under: uncultured bacterium
Lineage: Bacteria
Description: partial 16S ribosomal RNA
Rfam family: Bacterial small subunit ribosomal RNA
Source: RNAcentral